Molecule: ribosomal RNA, 254 nt
Filed under: uncultured prokaryote
Description: partial 16S ribosomal RNA
Rfam family: Bacterial small subunit ribosomal RNA
Source: RNAcentral
UACGGAGGAUCCAAGCGUUAUCCGGAAUUACUGGGCGUAAAGAGUUGCGUAGGUGGCAUAGUAAGCAAGUAGUGAAAGCGUUCGGCUCAACCGAAUAUCCAUUACUUGAACUGCUAAGCUAGAGGAUGAGAGAGGUUAUUGGAAUUCCCAGUGUAGGAGUGAAAUCCGUAGAUAUUGGGAGGAACACCGAUGGCGUAGGCAGAUAACUGGCUCAUUCCUGACACUAAGGCACGAAAGCGUGGGUAGCAAACGGG